This is a long non-coding RNA of Astatotilapia calliptera (eastern happy), 774 nucleotides long. Lineage: Eukaryota; Metazoa; Chordata; Actinopteri; Cichliformes; Cichlidae. The record is from Ensembl.
AAUGAAUUAAAGGAGAAACAGUGCGAGGGAGGAGUAAAGAACACUUGCUCAGAGUGGGUGAGUCAGUCACCUGCCGUUUGGCCCCCUCAUCAUAUGACACACGGUGGCACAGCACGGCUGUCAUCGACUCCGCCGAGCUUGGAUCAGCACAAACUGCAACAGAGUUAAGGUCCCAAGAAGUUGAUUCUGUUCAUGUGGAUGUAGUGUUUUCAGUGAGAGAAAUGUUCCAUCACUCAUGUGGGCGGCCCGGAUGUAAGUGGGACAUUGAACACAUUUAUUCUUUUCUUUUUCAGCUAUUCUGUUGUUAUUUGAUGGCGUCCAUGAAAUUAUCUUGACGUUUUCCACAUGUGAAUAAUCUUUUAUACCAUAGAAUGAUGAACUCCUCCCAGGUUGAUGGGCACCAGCAAUUGUUUUUUCAUAUCUGAACAUUGUGUUAGCACAUAUCUGAAUGCUCCAGAUAAACAAAGUGACAGAACUUGUUUUUUUUUUUUCUUUCAAUCGGUCGAUCAAUGAAUCCAGUCCAGAGGUUCCAGCCUCCUGCUUAAUUCCUAUUGAAGAGGUAAGGCUGUACUUUGCGUGCACUGCUUCUGCAUUUUGACUUUUUUUUUUGUUCAGUCAAUGACACUGUGUAAUAGUCUGUGGUUCAUCUGAGGUUUACCUAAUUUUACGACAUUGUAGGGACCAAAUUAUUUAAUUAUGGCCUGAUAUAUAAAACUUGAGAGUUUAAAGAGGGUAUACUUUCUUUUUUCCAUGACUGUACCUAUAACAAUAAUA